Molecule: non-coding RNA, 205 nt
Organism: Taeniopygia guttata (zebra finch)
Lineage: Eukaryota; Metazoa; Chordata; Aves; Passeriformes; Estrildidae
Source: RefSeq, a predicted model, not a curated record
ACAGGCUGAGCAGGAGCAUGAAGCAGAAGACAAAGGGAAGAAGGACAGAUCACUGCAGAAGGAUCAUGCAGCGCCCUGAGUAAAUAUCUCACAGGCUUGCCCCUGACCAGGGACUCCUGAGAAGCACAGGAAAUUAUUCUGAGGCUGAACACUGCCAAUACAGCUCCUAGCAACUCUUACAGAAUAUUUGAUGGUAAGAAGAGAA